UUCAGGGGUGUCAUAAUUUUUGUAAAGGAGUAUCAUAAUUUUUAAGAAGAGAUAUCAUAGUAUUGUUUUCGUAUAUAUUCAUUAUCUUUUUUUUUCUGUGCCGUAUUAUGACAUCCUGAGAGUCAUAAUAUAGGCAAAAGAUUAUAGGAAGAUCUGGAAGGAGGGUUUAAUAACUUUAGUUUAGUAUUUUCUGUAAGAGUAUUAUAAUUUUUGUGAAGGAAUGUUAUAAUUUUUAAGGAGUAUCAUAAUAUUGUUUCCUCAUAUAUUCAUUAUCCUUUUUCCUCCGUGCCGUAUUAUAGCAUUCUAAAAGUUAUAAUAGAGGCAAAGGAUGAUAGAAAGACUUGGAAGGAGGGGUUAAUAACUUCAGUAUAGCAUUUUCUGCAGUGAUGUCAUAAUUUUUGUGAAACGAUAUUAUAAUU
RNAcentral lists this long non-coding RNA (419 nucleotides) under Elaeis guineensis (African oil palm). RNAcentral describes it as "long non-coding RNA (EGUI_LNC018832)". The record is from RNAcentral. Lineage: Eukaryota; Viridiplantae; Streptophyta; Magnoliopsida; Arecales; Arecaceae.